This 233-nucleotide long non-coding RNA is filed under the name Ananas comosus (pineapple). Its description in RNAcentral is "long non-coding RNA (ACOM_LNC015020)". Lineage: Eukaryota; Viridiplantae; Streptophyta; Magnoliopsida; Poales; Bromeliaceae. The record is from RNAcentral.
UAGACAUUAGAAUCAUGAAAAUCAAAGUUUAAUGGAUUAGAAAGUGUGCUUCGGAACUUUGUGAAACCCGAAAUUGUGCAAAAUCUGAAAACUGCACUGUGUACGGGUACAGCAUUGAAAGUGUACCUGUACAAAAUCGGUUCCGGUACAGCAUUGACCUUGUAACCGGUUUCAAGUAUUUAAAAGUUUUCUGUUUCGUACUUGUGUAACCGGUAACAACUUAUUUUUGUACC